UCCUCGUUUAAGCGAGGCAGUCUGUCCAGAGUGCUCCGAGCUCUCGCUCAGGUGGCAACAGGACACAAGGGUUGCGCUCGUUGCGGGACUUAACCCAACAUCUCACGACACGAGCUGACGACAGCCAUGCAGCACCUGUGUACGCUGGUAUUGCUACCUCGUCAGGCUUUCACCCUUCUACUACGUACAUGUCAAGGCCAGGUAAGGUUCUUCGCGUUGCCUCGAAUUAAACCACACGCUCCGCUGCUUGUGCGGGCCCCCGCCUAUUCCUUUGAGUUUUAACCUUGCGGCCGUAGUCCCCAGGCGGUGAACUUAAUGCGUUAGCUGCGGCACUGAUCGGGUCAAUCCGACCAACACCUAGUUCACAACGUUUAGGGCGUGGACUAC
This 387-nucleotide unclassified non-coding RNA is filed under the name uncultured bacterium. RNAcentral's name for it is "contains 16S-23S intergenic spacer region". The record is from RNAcentral.